UACGUAGGAGGCGAGCGUUGUCCGGAAUUACUGGGCGUAAAGCGCGCGUAGGCGGCACUGUACGACCGGUGUGAAAGCCCCCGGCUCAACUGGGGAGGGUCACUGGUAACGGCAGCGCUGUGAGUGCAGGAGAGGGAAGUGGAACUCCGGGAGUAGCGGUGAAAUGCGUAGAGACCCGGAGGAACACCAGUGGCGAAGGCGGCUUCCUGGCCUGUAACUGACGCUGUGGCGCGAAAGCUAGGGGAGCAAACGGG
RNAcentral lists this ribosomal RNA (254 nucleotides) under uncultured bacterium. RNAcentral describes it as "partial 16S ribosomal RNA". It matches the Rfam family "Bacterial small subunit ribosomal RNA", at positions 524 to 776 of the family's 1533-position model. The record is from RNAcentral.